CAGGGAAUAGUUUAGUUAGAAUUUCAGCUUUG
Molecule: transfer RNA, 32 nt
Filed under: Sus scrofa (pig)
Lineage: Eukaryota; Metazoa; Chordata; Mammalia; Artiodactyla; Suidae
Description: partial tRNA-Pro
Source: RNAcentral